GACGAACGCUGGCGGCGUGCUUAACACAUGCAAGUCGAACGGCAAGGCCCUGCUUUUGUGGGGUGCUCGAGUGGCGAACGGGUGAGUAACACGUGAGUAACCUGCCCUUGACUUUGGGAUAACUUCAGGAAACUGUUGCUAAUACCUGAUAGGAGCUCCUGCUGCCUGGUGGGGGUUGGACCGUUUCGGCGGUUGGGGAUGGAUUCGCGGGUUAUCAGCUUGUUGGUUGGGUAGUUGCUUACCAAGCCAUUGACGGAUAGCCGGCCUGAGAGGGGGGCCGGGGACAAGGCGACUGAGGGACGGCCCAGACGCGUACGGGAGGCAGCAGGGGGGAGUAUUGUACAGUGAGGGGAAGCCUGAGGCAGAGACGCCGGGGGCGGGAUGAAGGCCUGCGGGGUGUAAACAGCAUUGGCCUGUGACGAAGCGUGAGUGACGGUAAUGGGUAAAGAAGCACCGGCUAACUACGUG
RNAcentral lists this ribosomal RNA (468 nucleotides) under uncultured bacterium. RNAcentral describes it as "partial 16S ribosomal RNA". It matches the Rfam family "Bacterial small subunit ribosomal RNA", at positions 28 to 507 of the family's 1533-position model. The record is from RNAcentral.